RNAcentral lists this ribosomal RNA (1331 nucleotides) under Staphylococcus aureus. Its description in RNAcentral is "partial 23S ribosomal RNA". It matches the Rfam family "Bacterial large subunit ribosomal RNA", at positions 12 to 1345 of the family's 2925-position model. The record is from RNAcentral. Lineage: Bacteria; Bacillati; Bacillota; Bacilli; Caryophanales; Staphylococcaceae.
UAAGGGCGCACGGUGGAUGCCUUGGCACUAGAAGCCGAUGAAGGACGUUACUAACGACGAUAUGCUUUGGGGAGCUGUAAGUAAGCUUUGAUCCAGAGAUUUCCGAAUGGGGAAACCCAGCAUGAGUUAUGUCAUGUUAUCGAUAUGUGAAUACAUAGCAUAUCAGAAGGCACACCCGGAGAACUGAAACAUCUUAGUACCCGGAGGAAGAGAAAGAAAAUUCGAUUCCCUUAGUAGCGGCGAGCGAAACGGGAAGAGCCCAAACCAACAAGCUUGCUUGUUGGGGUUGUAGGACACUCUGUACGGAGUUACAAAGGACGACAUUAGACGAAUCAUCUGGAAAGAUGAAUCAAAGAAGGUAAUAAUCCUGUAGUCGAAAAUGUUGUCUCUCUUGAGUGGAUCCUGAGUACGACGGAGCACGUGAAAUUCCGUCGGAAUCUGGGAGGACCAUCUCCUAAGGCUAAAUACUCUCUAGUGACCGAUAGUGAACCAGUACCGUGAGGGAAAGGUGAAAAGCACCCCGGAAGGGGAGUGAAAUAGAACCUGAAACCGUGUGCUUACAAGUAGUCAGAGCCCGUUAAUGGGUGAUGGCGUGCCUUUUGUAGAAUGAACCGGCGAGUUACGAUUUGAUGCAAGGUUAAGCAGUAAAUGUGGAGCCGUAGCGAAAGCGAGUCUGAAUAGGGCGUUUAGUAUUUGGUCGUAGACCCGAAACCAGGUGAUCUACCCUUGGUCAGGUUGAAGUUCAGGUAACACUGAAUGGAGGACCGAACCGACUUACGUUGAAAAGUGAGCGGAUGAACUGAGGGUAGCGGAGAAAUUCCAAUCGAACCUGGAGAUAGCUGGUUCUCUCCGAAAUAGCUUUAGGGCUAGCCUCAAGUGAUGAUUAUUGGAGGUAGAGCACUGUUUGGACGAGGGGCCCCUCUCGGGUUACCGAAUUCAGACAAACUCCGAAUGCCAAUUAAUUUAACUUGGGAGUCAGAACAUGGGUGAUAAGGUCCGUGUUCGAAAGGGAAACAGCCCAGACCACCAGCUAAGGUCCCAAAAUAUAUGUUAAGUGGAAAAGGAUGUGGCGUUGCCCAGACAACUAGGAUGUUGGCUUAGAAGCAGCCAUCAUUUAAAGAGUGCGUAAUAGCUCACUAGUCGAGUGACACUGCGCCGAAAAUGUACCGGGGCUAAACAUAUUACCGAAGCUGUGGAUUGUCCUUUGGACAAUGGUAGGAGAGCGUUCUAAGGGCGUUGAAGCAUGAUCGUAAGGACAUGUGGAGCGCUUAGAAGUGAGAAUGCCGGUGUGAGUAGCGAAAGACGGGUGAGAAUCCCGUCCACCGAUUGAC